Molecule: ribosomal RNA, 499 nt
Filed under: uncultured bacterium
Lineage: Bacteria
Description: partial 16S ribosomal RNA
Rfam family: Bacterial small subunit ribosomal RNA
Source: RNAcentral
GACGAACGCUGGCGGCGUGCCUAAUACAUGCAAGUCGAGCGGACUGAUUAAGAGCUUGCUCUUAUGACGUUAGCGGCGGACGGGUGAGUAACACGUGGGCAACCUGCCCUGUAGAUCGGGAUAACACCGAGAAAUCGGUGCUAAUACCGGGUAAUAUCUGAGAUCACAUGAUCUUAGGUUAAAAGAUGGCUCCGGCUAUCACUACAGGAUGGGCCCGCGGCGCAUUAGCUAGUUGGUAAGGUAAUGGCUUACCAAGGCGACGAUGCGUAGCCGACCUGAGAGGGUGAUCGGCCACACUGGGACUGAGACACGGCCCAGACUCCUACGGGAGGCAGCAGUAGGGAAUCUUCCGCAAUGGACGAAAGUCUGACGGAGCAACGCCGCGUGAGUGAUGAAGGGUUUCGGCUCGUAAAGCUCUGUUGUUAGGGAAGAAACAGUACCGAACGAACUAGGUCGGUACCUUGACGGUACCUAACCAGAAAGCCACGGCUAACUACGG